RNAcentral lists this transfer RNA (87 nucleotides) under bacterium. RNAcentral's name for it is "tRNA-Ser". It matches the Rfam family "tRNA". Rfam says of the family: Transfer RNA (tRNA) molecules are approximately 80 nucleotides in length. Their secondary structure includes four short double-helical elements and three loops (D, anti-codon, and T loops). Further hydrogen bonds mediate the characteristic L-shaped molecular structure. tRNAs have two regions of fundamental functional importance: the anti-codon, which is responsible for specific mRNA codon recognition, and the 3' end, to which the tRNAs corresponding amino acid is attached (by aminoacyl-tRNA synthetases). tRNAs cope with the degeneracy of the genetic code in two manners: having more than one tRNA (with a specific anti-codon) for a particular amino acid; and 'wobble' base-pairing, i.e. permitting non-standard base-pairing at the 3rd anti-codon position. The record is from RNAcentral. RNAcentral also lists the same sequence under 1 other name.
GGAGAGGUGGCUGAGUGGUCGAAAGCGGCGGUCUCGAAAACCGUUGUACGUGUGAGCGUACCCUGGGUUCGAAUCCCAGCCUCUCCG